RNAcentral lists this ribosomal RNA (468 nucleotides) under uncultured bacterium. RNAcentral describes it as "partial 16S ribosomal RNA". It matches the Rfam family "Bacterial small subunit ribosomal RNA", at positions 28 to 507 of the family's 1533-position model. The record is from RNAcentral.
GAUGAACGCUGGCGGCGUGCUUAACACAUGCAAGUCGAACGGUGAAGGCGGAGCUUGCUCUGCUGGAUCAGUGGCGAACGGGUGAGUAACACGUGAGCAAUCUGCCCCUGACUCUGGGAUAAGCGCUGGAAACGGCGUCUAAUACUGGAUACGAGCUGCGAAGGCAUCUUCAGCAGCUGGAAAGAAUUUCGGUCAGGGAUGAGCUCGCGACCUAUCAGCUUGUUGGUGAGGUAAUGGCUCACCAAGGCGUCGACGGGUAGCCGGCCUGAGAGGGUGACCGGCCACACUGGGACUGAGACACGGCCCAGACUCCUACGGGAGGCAGCAGUGGGGAAUAUUGCACAAUGGGCGAAAGCCUGAUGCAGCAACGCCGCGUGAGGGACGACGGCCUUCGGGUUGUAAACCUCUUUUAGCAGGGAAGAAGCGAAAGUGACGGUACCUGCAGAAAAAGCACCGGCUAACUACGUG